Molecule: ribosomal RNA, 498 nt
Filed under: uncultured bacterium
Lineage: Bacteria
Description: partial 16S ribosomal RNA
Rfam family: Bacterial small subunit ribosomal RNA
Source: RNAcentral
GAUGAACGCUGGCGGCGUGCCUAAUUCAUGCAAGUCGAACGGCAGCACGGGGCAACCUGGUGGCGAGUGGCGAACGGGUGAGUAAUGCAUCGGAACGUACCUUUCAGUGGGGGAUAACGUAGCGAAAGUUACGCUAAUACCGCAUAUUCUGUGAGCAGGAAAGCGGGGGAUCGCAAGACCUUGCGCUGAUUGAGCGGCCGAUGUCAGAUUAGCUAGUUGGUGAGGUAAAUGCUCACCAAGGCGAGGAACUGUAGCGGGUCUGCGAGGAUGAUCCGCCACACUGGAACUGAGACACGGUCCAGACUCCUACGGGAGGCAGCAGUGGGGAAUUUUGGACAAUGGGGGCAACCCUGAUCCAGCCAUGCCGCGUGAGUGAAGAAGGCCUUCGGGUUGUAAAGCUCUUUCGGCCGGGAAGAAAUCGCACGGGCUAAUACCCUGUGUGGAUGACGGUACCGGAAUAAGAAGCACCGGCUAACUACGUGCCAGCAGCCGCGGUAA